Long non-coding RNA from Lonchura striata (white-rumped munia), 179 nucleotides. RefSeq lists it as uncharacterized. The record is from RefSeq and is a predicted model, not a curated record. Lineage: Eukaryota; Metazoa; Chordata; Aves; Passeriformes; Estrildidae.
GCUGGAAAUAGAGAGCUAGAUAUGCCAGCAAGAAGAAAAGGCGUCUCCAGUUGAGGCUCCGAUGCUGCUAUGGCUAUUGAGGCCAGAGUGCAUUUGUUCAAAUGAAACAAGGUCUAUUUUUUCUGCAUGUUGAGAAGAUUACUAAAGUCUUUCUAUACAUAUUAAGAUACCUUUUCUUC